This 435-nucleotide ribosomal RNA is filed under the name Triticum aestivum (bread wheat). RNAcentral describes it as "partial small subunit ribosomal RNA". Lineage: Eukaryota; Viridiplantae; Streptophyta; Magnoliopsida; Poales; Poaceae. The record is from RNAcentral.
AUGACUAGGGAUAACCUUAGGAAGAGACACAUCAUCAAAUCCCUUGAUUGUGUUUACUGCUUGGAACAAGAGUCUUGUUCUCACCUAUUUUUUGAAUGUAUAGUUGCUAAACAUCUCUGGGCCCACAUUGAGGAAUAUUUCUCUAGUUAGAUUGGCUCAUCCUUUGAAUCUGUCACCAGAUUCUGGAUUGCUACCAAAAAGUGCUCAGUUUUAACAGUUAGCUCAGUUGUCCUUUGGUGCCUCUGGAAAUAUAGAAAUUCUAUGCUUUUCAGUAACACCUCCUGGAUUUCCAUUCCGCAGGUCUUGAGGUUGAUCAGGAACAUGGUGAGGAACUGGGCGAUUCUCUCCUCCGAAUCGGACAAGGACAAGUUGAUGAGCUUCAUAGAAACCCUAACAAGAUCCCUCCAGAAACCGUUGGCGAUCACUUGUGGCUGA